Molecule: ribosomal RNA, 494 nt
Filed under: uncultured bacterium
Lineage: Bacteria
Description: partial 16S ribosomal RNA
Rfam family: Bacterial small subunit ribosomal RNA
Source: RNAcentral
GACGAACGCUGGCGGCGUGCUUAACACAUGCAAGUCGAACGGAAAGGCCUGCUUUCCCUUGUGGAUUGCGGGUACUCGAGUGGCGAACGGGUGAGUAACACGUGAGUGAUCUGCCCCCAACUUGGGUAUAAGCCUGGGAAACUGGGUCUAAUUCCCGAUAGGACUGCAGGGUGGUGCCUGUGGUGGAAAACGAUUUUCUAGUGGUUGGGGAUGAGCUCGCGGCCUAUCAGCUUGUUGGUGGGGUAAUGGCCUACCAAGGCGGCGACGGGUAGCCGGCCUGAGAGGGUGGACGGGCACAUUGGGACUGAGAUACGGCCCAGACUCCUACGGGAGGCAGCAGUGGGGAAUAUUGCGCAAUGGGCGGAAGCCUGAUGCAGCGACGCCGCGUGGGGGAUGACGGCCUUCGGGUUGUAAACUCCUUUCGACCGCGAGGAAGCCACCUGGUUGGAAGGGUGGUGACGGUAGUGGUAGAAGAAGCACCGGCUAACUACGUG